Molecule: unclassified non-coding RNA, 375 nt
Filed under: uncultured Gammaproteobacteria bacterium
Lineage: Bacteria; Pseudomonadati; Pseudomonadota; Gammaproteobacteria
Description: contains 16S-23S intergenic spacer region
Source: RNAcentral
UCCGGUUCAUCACCGGCAGUCCCCUUAGAGUCCCCAACUAAAUGCUGGCAACUAAGGGCAAGGGUUGCGCUCGUUACGGGACUUAACCCAACAUCUCACAACACGAGCUGACGACAGCCAUGCAGCACCUGUCUCUGCGCUCCUUGCGGCACCCCGACCUCUCAGUCAGGUUCGCAGGAUGUCAAGGGUAGGUAAGGUUCUUCGCGUUGCGUCGAAUUAAACCACAUGCUCCACCGCUUGUGCGGGCCCCCGUCAAUUCCUUUGAGUUUCAACCUUGCGGCCGUACUCCCCAGGCGGAGAACUUAUCGCGUUAGCUUCGAUACCGAUAGGUCGCCCUACCGACAUCUAGUUCUCAUCGUUUACAGCGUGGACUAC